Molecule: long non-coding RNA, 2963 nt
Filed under: Nicotiana benthamiana
Lineage: Eukaryota; Viridiplantae; Streptophyta; Magnoliopsida; Solanales; Solanaceae
Description: long non-coding RNA (NBEN_LNC035688)
Source: RNAcentral
GAUAUAAUGACAUUUAUUCCAUAAAUAUUAAUUUCAGGCCGGAGAUCUCAAGCACUACAUUAACUAAUAAAUAACAAAGUUUAUUUCAAAUGAGUAUACUUGCAAUGAACUUUGGAGAAGGAAUAUUUCAUAUACUACAUCAAAUAAUAAAACCAAUUGUUCCAAGGUGCCUGCCAGCCAUUAACCUUACAAAACCAUAUAUAUUUAUAUUAUAUCAUAAACAAUAUAAUAGUCCAAAACUCAGCGUCAUUAGCUUCCGAUAAAUCAAUUUGAUCUAGUUCACCAUUUUCAAUCCCAUCUCAAGAAUUUUCCUACAAAUUUAAAAUCGAAUUAAAAGUUAGAUAGAAACCAAUAUUAUACAAGUGCAAAUUCAAAUGAGCAUAUUUUCACCAAUCAAAAGCACAACACUAUUAAUAGUGAAAAAGUAGUACUACAGGGGCAGGAGACAAUGGCUGAGAGGACAAAUAGAAAGCAAUAGCCAUUUGACAUUGAGAGUAAUUUCUUAUGUGUUUUAGUGAGUACAUAUAGAACAGAUUACACCACCACAAGCGAAUAACUUUAUACAAUUCUAUUUAAGUUGUCCUUGUUAUUUAGGAGGACUACAAACUUAACAGUGACAUUCUGAUAAAAUAUGUAAUAACAUACUAUCUAACUUAGCACACUUCUAAUUGGGAAAUCCCAAGCUCAUUGCAGUCCACUUAUCUUCACCAAUCAGAUGCACAAUACACACUCCCCAAUAGCAAGGUGAGAAGUUCUUGGAGGGAAGGAUGCCGGGGGUCUAUUUGGAAACAGCCUCUCUACUCAAGGGUAGGGGUAAGGUCCGUGUACACACUACCCUCCCCAGACCCCACUACGUGGGAUUAUACUGGGUUGUUGUUGUUUAUUUGUUAGUUAAUCAAGCCAUGCAUAAGAAUUAUCAAUUUUUACACUAUAAAAGCCUUAAUCCAUCUACUUCUUCCCCAAAUCAACCCCUCUUCUUAACAUUUCUUCCAAACCUUGACUUAUAUGGUCAAGUUAUAGGAGAAUUGCACCAUGUAGAAUAGAAAAUCUUUCUCAGUAACCUACGCGACUUGCUAAAUCGAUGCUUUCUUGUUCCUCCCUACGUUCUAUCCGAAUCCUAUCAUUCUGACUAAUCUGAAUUCUUAUCACGUAGACCUAUUAAAGGUGGAUUGUUAUUGUUGUUGUUCAACAGUAGUAUAUGUUCCACAAUUCCAUGUGCAAGAAGCUUAAAAGAUAAACAAUUGUAUGCCUGGAUAGAAAAAUUACCAGAUAUUGCUUAAGUAACCUUGUAAAGUGCAUUUCUCUACUUUGUGUCCUCAACUACAUUUUGCCACUGUGUGUCUCUUUUCAUGUGGUUAUGGACCAACAACCUUAAUACCAAGAGAAAGUCCAAAUCACAUCAAAAUCAACUGGCUAGAUUGGCGUCUAGUUAGAUUGAUAAUAAAUUAUAUACUAGUAGUUAUUGUAAUAAAGUUAUAGCCAUUAUUUAUUAUUGUACCAAUAUUUACACGUGCAAUAGAGAUAAUUUGCAAGCAUGAACUAAGUAGAAUUUGCAAUAGGCAGUGAAUCUGCAAAUUUCUAUUUUUUUCCUGUAUCAAUAGAUGAGCAAAAUGUAGGUAAAAAAUAAAAUAUCAACAUAAUGAACCUAACCAUAGAAUUUAUAUUAUAUAAGUAAUAUUCUCAAGUAUGGAGAAACAAAAGGAACCUAACCAUAUAGUUAGAUUGCUAUCAUAACGUUAUUAGUGAGAUGAAAGAUUUUAAAUGUUGCACUAAGAAAAUAACAAUUUGAUUCAAAAAGUAUAAUAUUAACACUGAUCUUUAUAACAGUGGAGGGCAAUUCACUAUUUUGAUAGAUACAGUGUGUAAGUUUCAUGGUGGCAUUUUACUACGAAAAAUAAUGUAGAUGAUAACAGCUAGCCAGCUACAAGGUAAUAUCACAAAACCACAAAAUAAAUAGUUAUCUGACUGUGACCAUGACAAAACAUGCACUCGCUGAUAAAUCAAUGCACACCUGAUUUUUCCCAGAAUGAUAACAUAUUCAUACCUAUCAAAAUAAAAUUAGUAUAUUCAUGCUAAUCCAUUAUUAAACCUUUUAGUAGUGAGAAAAUAUAUAUCCAAAGAAAAAAAAAGGAUAAAACACAAACUAAUCACGACACAUUUUUUAAAGGAAAGAAGCUUUGAGCUGAAACCAUAGAAAAGAGUAGGAUAACAUUAUUCUCAGUAAUAAUUAACAUAAAUUCAAUAAAGAAAAAAAUUGAGAGGAGCAUCUACUUCAUCAAAAGGAAAGCAAUCAAGAUUGCAUAUGCCAUGGAGCUUUUAGUAGCAGAUAUCAUAUUUAGUUAAGCAAUUAAGCUAAAGAAGCCUCAUGAGAUUAUGAACGGAACAUUAUGGAGAUAUUUUUUUUGGCUAUUGUGGAAGCCACAAAUGCAUAUCCUAGGUUUAUUACUCUUUAAAAAAAUUAUUACCACCAUAUCCCAUCCCCCUUAAAUCUACGAUCAUCAAGUAAUGCACACAAGGAAAUUAAAGUUUCUUUUGUCCAAAAUCAAACUCUCACCUAUCUCUUCUAGAGAAGAAUUUUCAUUGUCGUUGAUGGUUAGAUCUACUUGUCUCGCCCCUGCAUAAACUGUUGAAAAUUGAAUUCACUUCAGUAUUAAGAUUUGGGUUGAUUUAUAAGGCAUAGAAGAACUUGAACGCAAACUAUUUUCUUUCAUAAUAGGACAAAAUAUUAUGAUUGAAACCUGUAAAUAUUAAGGGAAAGUAAGCACGAGAAGUCCUUAAACAAUCCUUUAAAGUGCAAUAAGGAUUUUUUUAUUUCAUAACUUUAAAUCCAUCAAGAUUUAGAGUGCAACACCAAAAAUCUAUACCAAAAUUGUAUUUAAUUCUUAGCAAAGAAAUUAAACACACAAAAAGUAAUAGCAAAAAAUGGAUUUAAUCGAAGUGAAUUUGACAAGAUCAGCACAUAC